This 21-nucleotide non-coding RNA is filed under the name Arabidopsis thaliana (thale cress). The record is from RNAcentral. Lineage: Eukaryota; Viridiplantae; Streptophyta; Magnoliopsida; Brassicales; Brassicaceae.
UGCUGUAGUUUCGGGCCUGGG